AAGGAGGGACUCAGGCAAGAGGUAGCUAGGGAAAACAUCCCCCAUGACCCACCCCAAGUGACCUCUGUCCUUCAGCUUGGCUGACCUUGUAGACUUUCCACACUUUCCCAAAAUAGCUGGGGGUCAAGCAUUCAAAAUGCAAGUCUUAGAAUAUUUUAUACCUACAUCAGACCAAAGGGUAUGUCUGAUGGUAAAUGGGUUGGAAUGCCUAUGGAAGAACUGGUGUAGGUAUGAGAAUUUAGAAUGUACCACAGUGAGCAUAGGGUUGAGGUCUCAAGCUAAACACUGAGCCAUGGAAGUUCCAGGAGCCAGUUCAAUUUGAAGCAAUAGACUUAAGUAAGAAUCAUUCCUUUACCCAGCCGGGAAAUGCCAUCUUCAGCCAUUAUAAUCCAAUGAUUAACUCACCACAGUUGUGGCCACCUGCACUGGGCCAACAUAGGAAUGGCCAUGUCAGCCGUCAUAGAAGGAGGAAGAACUCAUGGUUGAUUCUGGGAGAGCAAGUUUAGUCACAUGUCUACCAUUGAGCCUACCAGUUUCUAACAGACAGUCUAAGCUUUCACACAGAUGUCCUUGGUUAAACCCAGUGGGUCACAAAAGAAAACAAACAAGAAUGAACAUGAAAAAGAGAUUCAUGGGGAAGUGGAAUAGAUGGGGUGGUAAGAAGCCUUCGAUUGCUUCCCAUGAGGAUGCUCCAGCAAGACACUGAGAAGCCGAUACAAUCUGCCAAGAUUCAUCAAGCUUGGCAGGGCCUGUCUCCUAGCCUGCCAAGCUCUACAAGAGCCAAAUUCCCAUAGCUACUGAAAUCGGCUUCUAGGAGCUACUUGUUACCUGAUAUCCUGAUGCACCACAUCUUUCCCUUAGACAUGAAGAUGCCCUGAACUGGUUUAUUUCCAAGUCGACAAAUUGAUGAAUGCCUUGUGGUGAAAUGUUAUGGGUUCCUUCCUUGUGGGACUGAGCCUUUCAAGUUCAGGCUGGCUUGUUAGCCAUCAGCUCCAAUUCUGCACCCUCAUCCCCAGGAGAACAGCAUAGCAUCGAUGCCAUCUUCUUCUCUGUCUCCUUUGGGUCCACUGUAGAAAAUUCCCUGAAUACACAGUGCUCUAACAAGUACCAGGGUGAGUU
This is a long non-coding RNA of Peromyscus eremicus (cactus mouse), 1119 nucleotides long. RefSeq lists it as uncharacterized. NCBI's taxonomy places the organism in Eukaryota, Metazoa, Chordata, Mammalia, Rodentia, Cricetidae. The transcript is spliced from 3 exons. The record is from RefSeq and is a predicted model, not a curated record.